RNAcentral lists this microRNA precursor (75 nucleotides) under Myotis myotis. Its description in RNAcentral is "mir-9229 microRNA precursor family". It matches the Rfam family "mir-9229 microRNA precursor family". Lineage: Eukaryota; Metazoa; Chordata; Mammalia; Chiroptera; Vespertilionidae. The record is from Rfam by way of RNAcentral. RNAcentral also lists the same sequence under 1 other name.
AGACACCCUUCUGGGGCAAGACUAGCUUCAGUGGGGCUUUGGUGCUCACUGAGUCUGCCCCCUGAGUGUGUCCCU